This 505-nucleotide long non-coding RNA is filed under the name Capsicum annuum. Its description in RNAcentral is "long non-coding RNA (CANN_LNC016390)". The record is from RNAcentral. Lineage: Eukaryota; Viridiplantae; Streptophyta; Magnoliopsida; Solanales; Solanaceae.
UUUGCGAACACUAACUGAUUAGACAGAUGUUUUUUCCCUCUGCUUGUAUUGAAUUGUAUUUUAUUGCGAUUGAAAAGAGAUAGUAAAAAGAUGUGAUUUCGUGCUUAUGAAAUAUGAGCUGACAAGACAAAAUGAAUCAAUUUCUUUCAUAUGUACGAGAUAUACAGGAGAGGUAACACAAAUUUGAUUGUGUAGCCAAUAGCCAUCUAAUUUGAUUCUUGUAACAGCCUUCUUGAUGAAUUACAAAUACACACAACAUAAACCUCUUCUUAUUCUAGUAAUACUUGUUGGGUUUGUGAUGAAAGUGAAUGAAAAAUAGAGAAAAAAUUAAAAAUGUGAGUUCACUUCAAGAAAAAAGUAUUGAUUUUAUACCCGAAAAACAAUAAUACUUUUGUCUGGUCUCAAAACUUUCUGAAUGUAUGUGUUUAGAAUUGACUGUAUAACUUAGAGAGCGACCGAUUACAUCGAUUUGCAUAUUUUCCUAAUGGACCUUAUUAACUUGCCG